AAAUGUGCGACGGACCGUCGCGCACACCGUCGCACUUAACCUUUGCAUAGCUGGUCGGGUCGAAUCGCUUUAAAUAACUGAUUUUUAAUUCCUAUCCAUUUCCAAACAUUUUUAAACUGAUAAGUUGAGGCAGUUAAGUAAAUCCCAACGUUUAAAAACACUUGUGCCCUUUCAUUCCCCCUCACAGCUCUUCAUUUUCCCAUCUUCCUAUCUAUUUAAAGGCCAUUCACCUCUCUCAUUUUUCCUCACGAGACACAAAUAUUUAUCUGUUAUUUGAAGUUCAUUGUGUAAAGUCUGAGUAGUGCAUUCAUACUACAACAAGAAGGUACAUAUUUCCUUUCUCUAUCUAUGAUUCUUAAACAUGUGAGCAAAUCAAAAUGAGUGAAGUCAAGAGAACAAAUGUUGUUUCUUUUUAUUUUGUUGGGUGAUUGUUGUUUAUGAUUUUCUUCUAGUCCAAAUUUAGCAUACACUGGGAGAAGUCUGAGUAACCCAUGGACAAAAAAUGACAACUUAGGGUGUUGAAUUAGCGAUUAAAAUGCGAUGAAAAUCGCCCUUAUAUGAUAUGCACAGAAGAUGUUCGAUAAAAUGCCUCAAAGAGGUUUCAAGUUACCAUAUGCAAGCAACGGUACAUGCAACGGAACUUUGGAGUCCAGACGGACCGUCGCAUGACACUGUCUUACCUAUGUCAAAAACUGAUUCACAGAAAUCUACCCGACAGUAGGGAUCGAUGAGCCGUCGCAUGCCUGAUGGAUCGUCGCGCCCCACCUUCACACAUUUCUCAGAACAUGAGUUACCAGAAUACUCCGACGGUAGAGGUACUACGGCACCUAAAAUACCACCAUCUAGGGGCAGAGGUAGAAGCCAACAAGCCGGGCAAGCGCAAAGUUCUGAUGCGCUGGCUCGAAACACUAGGCAAAAUCGUCAACCGGUGGUUUCUUCAUCCUCCUCAUCUGACGAGGUAGUUGAAAGCAGCAGUAGCACCUCUAUGUCAGUACCGCCGGAGGUAGCAGUCAAAACUUCUAACCCUAUUCCAGAAGAAGUGCCUCAACAAGAGGAUCCGAAAGACAUUCGUUGAAAGGAUCAGCAGCUUAGGGAAGCCAUAAGAUGGCAAGUAGCGGGUGCUCGUAACAUCUUCUACGAAGGACUGGAACCUACUUCAGAUAGGCUAUUUUCGAGGAACACCAGAUUAUCAGAACAACCUUGCAUGAAUAUCCAGAGCUUGAGCGUCGUUUCAAUGCAUAUGGGUUGGAUUGGAUAAGUAGGCCACUGGGAUCGUACCAACCUAUCUUGGUGCAGGAAUUCUUCCAUAAUUAUCUGGCACUACUAGAAAAGGAUUUACCCAAGGUUGCAACGGCUGCAGAUAGGGAUAAGGUUAAUGUAGUCCCAGUGAGAGGAGUCGACAUUGAUAUCUCGGAAAGAACGCUUAACAGGUUUUUAUUUGGCCCAGAAUAUCAGAUACCAGGGGCUAUCCCAGAGUUCGAGCAUCGUUUAUUCACAUGAGCUGAAUAAAGGCGAUGGCUAGCCAGGAUUCUGACAGAUGGAGGUAACCCUCCAUGGUUGCUUGACCCACGUGAGAGAAUCUCAAAGAAAUCACUGAGUUUCAGGGCAAAAUUCUGUUGGACUAUUGUGCGACUUAGGCUUAUGCCCACAGGUGGUGAUGAUCGUCUUGAGAUAACCCAAGCUGUGAUAUUUGUUGAAUUGAUCUAAGGGUUGAGCGUAGAUUUUGGUCACAUCAUCUUCGAUGAAUUAUUCUUCCGCGCCCGUAAGACUCACACUGCCUUGCCAUUUCCCUGCCUCAUCAUCGAACUAUGCAAGAGGGCAAAUGUUUCCUAAUCAGUGGAGUUGAUAAUGAGGUCCCGACACUGCACAAAUAGGAUAUUGAGAAGAUGAAAGAUGAGUCGAGGUUCGAUUUGACAACCAACCGGCCUCCAGUUCAGCAGACUCAGUCCUCCCCGGUACCCGAAUCAUCAAAUUUUCCUGCAGGUAUGCCCAUGCCUCUGACUGUUUAUGCACCUCCGACCACCUCUACAGGCUCAGCUUCCAUGCCAAUGGGCGGGACCCCAGAUUCUACAUCUAUCCCACCCCUACCUUCUGAGUACAGGCUGAACCCUGACAACUUCGCAAAGACUGUGAAGACCAUCAAAAAGGUGGAAAAACAGAUAGUACUUUGGGAAAAGAUUUCAAACCCUUCGUGGAGAAAAUUAUUGCUGAUGCAUUGCGGCCGUUUCAAAAUAUCCAACUUCGAAUGGAUAAUAUGGAGGAUCGGAUAAACGAAAAGAUAGAUGCUAUGUCCGUUCCAGAUUUUGCCAAAUUGAUUGAAGAAGUCAUUGACUCCGGGCAGACUUCGAUAGGAUACAACAGCAACCACAGUAGCCCGACUUUGAUCCAGUCCAGGUUGUUAGUGAUAAGGACGAGGGUUUUAUUGAUAUUUUUGGGCAUCUGAUCAAAGACAAAGGUAAACAGGCAGCGGUGACAGAUGAGAAUGCUGAAAGGGCAGCUACAAAAGCUGCUAAGAAAGAAGGAAACACAUAAUGGAGACCAUGUCACCUCAGAAGCUCGAGGAAUUUCAGAUGCAGCGGGCAGCCAAGAAGUCAAAGAAAACAGCAGCAAAAGAAGAGAAAAGGCUACAGGAUGAAGCAGCUAGCGUAUCCACAAGUGCUGCCCUAGUUAGAGGGCAGAUUUCAGACCCAGCUAGAGUUGAGAUACCUCCAACCAUGGAGGGUGAGAUUGUGAGUACUCCCACAACCAUGGGGGUUAACGUUGUACCUAGCGAGGCCACUGGAGCCUCACCACACUUGACAGAUGCCUCAGAUGAAUAAGAGGCGCACCACAAGAAAAAAUCUAAGUGGGAUGAAUUACUUAGGAAAAUGGGAAAAAUUAAGAGGAAAGUAGUUGUGACGAUGUGAGCAACAGAAUGUCGCUCAUGUGACGGACAGUCGGUCGGUACCGUCGCCAAGAAGCAGAAGACCAGGCCACUGGAAUCAUGCAAUGGUCCCAUCCGAUGGACCAUCAGACAUUCGACGGACCGUUGAAAGACACCGUCGUUGCUAAGCAAAAGAUAAAAGUAUUGGAACUCUGCGAUGGUAGCCAGUGAUGAACCAUCGGACAUGCGACGUACCGUUAGUGUGCACCAUCGUUGCCAAGUAGUAAGCAUCAGCACUGGAACUUUUCGACGGUCCCAAGCGACGUACCGUCAUCUAUACAACGGACCGCCGACCUUCACCGUUGUACAUGAUGCGGUAAUCUCAAUUUUAAAUUCUGAAACCCUGGGCUCUGAAGACCUAUAAAUAUUAAGUGAUAGGGUUUAUUUUGUAUCUUAUCUUAGAUUUGAGAGAUACAUUUUCAGAUCUAGUUCUCUAUCUUUCAUUUUUAUCUUGUUUUCUAGUUCAUUGUAACUGAGCAUAUUGUGGGAAAUGAGCAUUAGUUUUUUGUUUCAAUCAUUUCAUUCUUAUUGAAGAUUCAAGAACACAUUCUUGUAACCGUUGUAAGUAAACUUUGAUUUUCUUAUGAACAAUACAAUGAUGUUUUCUAGUUCUUUCAUGGAAA
RNA transcript from Capsicum annuum, 3546 nucleotides. RefSeq lists it as uncharacterized. Lineage: Eukaryota; Viridiplantae; Streptophyta; Magnoliopsida; Solanales; Solanaceae. The transcript is spliced from 3 exons. The record is from RefSeq and is a predicted model, not a curated record.